GUUUUGAAUAACAGUAGUUGCUUUGGAAAAUUGUGUUCGAAUACUAGCAAUUAUAAGAACAAUAAAUAAAAUUCCAAAUUUGAAAUCCAGAAAAUUACAACCCACAUAAAAUAAUUUAAAGGUAAUAAUCAAAACUGUAACAUAAACAGUGUGUAUGGCUUCCUCCGAGCCCCUAGCAACCCCGAUCCAUCAAAGGCUGGAAAUUACCUGAAAGGUUAAUAAACGGGGUGAGUUUACGAAAACUCAGUGUGAAAUCCCCUACUAUAAAAAGGAACAGUCAAUCAUCUAAAAGAAUUAAAAGUCUGGCCCCAGCCUUACUUACAAUUUCAGUACCAAUCGGGUCUGAACCCAUUACAACAGACAGUACCAGAUGGACCUUAGCCAAUUACAGAAUAAGAAACAUUAUCAGAAUUGGAACCAAAAUGAGAAUCAGAAUCAGAAUCAGUAACAGAAUCAGAAUCAGAAUCAAUAUUAGUAACAGAAUCAGAAUCAGAAUCAGAAUUAGGUGACAGAAUCAGAAUCAGAAUCAGUAACAGAAUCAGAAUCAAAAUCAGUAUUAGUAACAGAAUCAGAAUCAGAAUCAGAAUUACGUAACAGAAUCAGAAUCAGAAUGUGAAUGCAAUCCCAACCCAAUCCAGCCGUAUACACCCCCGUACAAACCUUACACCAUGUGGGGAGACAACUCGACCCACCCAUCCGCUACACACCACAAAAUUUGCAGCAUGGCUGCCAGAACAGAUAUCGUGACAGAGUCACCAGAUACAGAUAUUGUGGCAGAGCCACCAGAACAGAUAUUUGUGGCAUAGCCACCAGAACGCUUCCUCUGUACAAAAUCCCAACCCAUGCAACAUGUCAUGUAUGCAGAAUGUCAUGCCCAUAUUUGAAUCAAACAAUCACAGUCAAGUCAUUCAUAUCACCAACAUAUAUUCACAAUCAAAUCCGUCAAACACACAGUCCAAGUCAAUCACUUGCCCACAAGGGCAAAAUAGUCAUUUAACACCCUAGGGGCAAAAUAGUAAUUUUACCCCACAAGGGUAUCUCGGUAAUUCUACCCUACAGGGGUAUUUCGGUAUUUCUACCCUACAAGGGUAUUUUGAUAAUUCUACCCUACAAGGGUAUUUUGGUAAUUCUAUCCUAUAAGGGUAUUUCAGUAAUUCUACCCUAUAGGGGUAUUUCGAAAACUCUACCCUACAGGGGUAUUUCAGUAAUUUCACAAUCAAGGGUAAAAAGAUAAUUCUGUAAAUCGAGGGUAAAACGAUAAUUUUGUAAACUGAGGGUAAACCAGUAAUUCUAUAAAUCAAGGGUAAAACAGUAAUUUUACAAAUCGAUGGUAAAACGAUAAUUUUGUAAACUGAGGGUAAACCAGUAAUUCUGUAAAUUAAGGGUAAAACAUUAAUUUUACAAAUUGAGGGUAAAACAGUAAUUCUGUAAAUCGAGGGUAAAACAGUAAUUCUGUAAACUGAUGGUAAAACGGUAAUUCUAUAAAUCGAGGGUAAAAUGGUAAUUCUGUAAACUGAGGAUAAAAUGGUAAUUCUGUAAACUAAGGGUAAAACGGUAAUUCUGUAAAUCGAAGGUAAAAUGGUAAUUUUACAAAUCGAGGGUAAAACGGUAAUUCUAUAAAUCAAGGGUAAAACAGUAAUUCUAUAAACUGAGGGUAAAACGGUAAUUCUGUAAAUCGAGGGUAAAACGGUAAUUCUGUAAAUUGAGGGUAAAACGGUAAUUUUAUAAAUCGAGGGUAAAAUGGAAAUUCUAUAAAUCGAGGGUAAAACGGUAAUUUUACAAAUCGAGGGUAAAACAAUAAUUCUAUAAAUCGAGGGUAAAACAGUAAUUGGUAAACUAAAGUAUCUAAGCAUGGAUAACAAUACGAAUGGGCCUAAAACCUAUUCUCGACCCAAAUGGGCCCACACGCUCGUGUGGCCCUUGUAGCCCAAACCUAGCCACAGAUAUGAGAUUCACUUAGCCUAGUCCAAUAUUUACUACACAAUCAAACAACUUACCCAAUUGGGCCCGUAGGCCCAUUGGGCCCACAUGGCCUCUUUCGGCCCAUCGCGGCCCGAAGUAGCCAUCCAACAAUAAGAGUAGUGAUAAAUACACACCUGAUUAGAGACUGGAGUUAAUCCACGCUCCGAGCACUCUUAGCCAACGCCCAACCCAAACGAGCACGCCAUAAAGCGAAAGGGAUCAGCCAAGAAAGGUACCUUUACUCUCCUCAUGGUUCUCUUUAUUUAAGGCCAGCUUCCCAUCCACUCUUAUGUUAGCUUCCCGAUGUGGGAUCCCUCCAACAUCAGAGUUUAAAUUCAACACCAACUCUUACCGCCCCCUGUUAGCAAAAUAAAUGCUCUUUGCUUGCUAUGGGAUUCGAACCCAUGCCUCCCCUCAAAUGCUCCACACGCCACUUGCCACUAAGCCAUAAGGUUUUUUGUGUCACAAUUUCUCCAACAAUAUUCUUAAGGCCUACCUACUACACCCAGGGUUUGAUUCACCUUAAACCAAAUUUUUUGCUAGAGUCUAGGUUUAAACCCAGGACUUCUCCAACACUUCUCAACACACUUAACCACUAAAACAAGCCUUCAUUAACGAAAUUUGCAUGCACAACAGAAUAUUAUAAGCUGCCUUCAACCGCUCCCAUGCUCAAGGCCUAAAACUUCUAGGCCCAAAUUCAGGGUGUUACAACUCUACCUCCUUUAAAGAAAUUUCGUCCUCGAAAUUUCCAUCUAACAGGGUAGUCGUGUAACAUCUACCCCACUACGCUACCGCUGCGCACUCUGAUCCUACUAUCACUAUCACACUUCAACUAGAACUUGAAACAUCUCAUACAUACAACACUUAUUCACUGAAGUAGACACAUAUUAACAGUCAGUCAUCUAAAAGAAUUAAAAGUCUGGCCCCAGCCUUACUUACAAUUUCAGUACCAAUCGGGUCUUAACCCAUUACAACAAAGAGUACCAGAUGGACCUUAGCCCAUUACAGAAUAAGAAACAUUAUCAGAAUUGGAACCAAAAUGAGAAUCAGAAUCAGAAUCAGUAACAGAAUCAGAAUCAGAAUCAAUAUUAGUAACAGAAUCAGAAUCAGAAUCAGAAUUAGGUGACAGAAUCAGAAUCAGAAUCAAUAACAGAAUCAGAAUCAGAAUCUGUAUUAGUAACAGAAUCAGAAUCAGAAUCAGAAUCAGAAUCAGAAUUACGUGACAGAAUCAGAAUCAGAAUGUGAAUGCAAUCCUAACCCAAUCCAGCCGUAUACACCCCCGUACACACCUUACACCAUGUGGGGAGACAACUCGACCCACCCAUCCGCUACACACCACAGAAUUUGGAGCAUGGCUGCCAGAAUAGAUAUCGUGAUAGUCACCAGAUACAGAUAUUGUGGCAGAGCCACCAGAACAGAUAUUUGUGGCAUAGCCACCAGAACGCUUCCUCCGUACAAAAUCCCAACCCAUGCAACAUGUCAUGUAUGCAGAAUGUCAUGCCCAUAUUUAAAUCAAACAAUCAAAGUCAAGUCAUUCAUAUCACCAACAUAAAUUCACAAUCAAAUCCGUCAAACACACACUCCAAGUCAGUCACUUGCCCACAAGGGCAAAACAGUCAUUUAACACCCUAGGGACAAAAUGGUAAUUUUACCCCACAAGGGUAUCUCGGUAAUUCUACCCUACAGGGGUAUUUCGGUAUUUCUACCCUACAAGGGUAUUUCGAUAAUUCUACCCUACAGGGGUAUUUUGGUAAUUCUAUCCUAUAAGGAUAUUUCAGUAAUUCUACCCUAUAGGGGUAUUUCAGAAACUCUACCCUACAGGGGUAUUUCAGUAAUUUCACAAUCAAGGGUAAAACGGUAAUUCUGUAAAUCGAGGGUAAAAUGAUAAUUUUGUAAACUGAGGGUAAACCAGUAAUUCUAUAAAUCAAGGGUAAAACAGUAAUUUUACAAAUCAAGGGUAAAACGAUAAUUUUGUAAACUGAGGGUAAAGCAGUAAUUCUGUAAAUCAAGGGUAAAACAGUAAUUUUACAAAUCGAGGGUAAAACGAUAAUUCUAUAAAUCGAGGGUAAAAUAGUAAUUCUGUAAACUGAGGGUAAAACAGUAAUUCUGUAAAUCGAGGGUAAAAUGGUAAUUCUAUAAACUGAGGGUAAAAUGGUAAUUCUGUAAACUGAGGGUAAAACGGUAAUUCUGUAAAUCGAAGGUAAAAUGGUAAUUUUACAAAUUGAGGGUAAAACGGUAAUUCUAUAAAUCGAGGGUAAAAUAGUAAUUCUAUAAACUGAGGGUAAAACGGUAAUUCUGUAAAUCGAGGGUAAAACGAUAAUUCUAUAAACUGAGGGUAAAACGGUAAUUCUGUAAAUCGAGGGUAAAACGGUAAUUCUAUAAACUGAGGGUAAAACGAUAAUUCUGUAAAUCGUGGGUAAAACGGUAAUUUUACAAAUUGAGGGUAAAACGGUAAUUUUACAAAUCGAGGGUAAAACGGUAAUUCUAUAAAUCGAGGGUAAAACAGUAAUUGGUAAACUAAAGUAUUCUAAACAUGGAUAACAAUACAAAUGGGCCUAAAGCCUAUUCUCGGCCCAAAUGGGCCCACACGCUCGUGUGGCCCUUGUAGCCCAAACCUAGCCACAGAUAUGAGAUUCACUUAGCCUAGUCCAAUAUUUACUACACAAUCAAACAACUUACCCAAUUGGGCCCGUAGGCCCAUUGGGCCUACAUGGCCCCUUUCGGCCCAUCGCGGCCGAAGUAGCCAUCCAACAACAAGAGUAGUGAUAAAUACACACCUGAUUGGAGACUGGAGUUAAUCCACGCUCCGAGCACUCUUAGCCGACGCCCAACCCAAACGAGCACGCCAUAAAGCGAAAGGGAUCAGCCAAG
Molecule: long non-coding RNA, 4833 nt
Filed under: Gossypium barbadense (sea-island cotton)
Lineage: Eukaryota; Viridiplantae; Streptophyta; Magnoliopsida; Malvales; Malvaceae
Description: long non-coding RNA (GBAR_LNC008450)
Source: RNAcentral